RNAcentral lists this ribosomal RNA (579 nucleotides) under uncultured Leptodontidium. RNAcentral's name for it is "eukaryotic LSU rRNA". The stretch from base 216 to 369 matches the Rfam family "5.8S ribosomal RNA". The record is from RNAcentral. Lineage: Eukaryota; Fungi; Ascomycota.
GCGCCCGCGGAGCUCGCUCCCGGGGCUACCCUACUCCGGUAGGGUUUAGAGUCGUCGGGCCUCUCGAAGAAGCUCGGUCCUGAACUCCACCCUUGAAUAAACUACCUUUGUUGCUUUGGCGGGCCGCCUCGUGCCAGCGGCUUCGGCUGUUGAGUGCCCGCCAGAGGACCACAACUCUUGUUUUUAGUGAUGUCUGAGUACUAUAUAAUAGUUAAAACUUUCAACAACGGAUCUCUUGGUUCUGGCAUCGAUGAAGAACGCAGCGAAAUGCGAUAAGUAAUGUGAAUUGCAGAAUUCAGUGAAUCAUCGAAUCUUUGAACGCACAUUGCGCCCUCUGGUAUUCCGGGGGGCAUGCCUGUUCGAGCGUCAUUAUAACCACUCAAGCUUUCGCUUGGUCUUGGGGUUCGCGGUUCCGCGGCCCCUAAAAUCAGUGGCGGUGCCUGUCGGCUCUACGCGUAGUAAUACUCCUCGCGAUUGAGUCCGGUAGGUCUACUUGCCAGCAACCCCCAAUUUUUUAAGGUUGACCUCGGAUCAGGUAGGGAUACCCGCUGAACUUAAGCAUAUCAAUAAGCGGAGGAA